Molecule: ribosomal RNA, 253 nt
Filed under: uncultured bacterium
Lineage: Bacteria
Description: partial 16S ribosomal RNA
Rfam family: Bacterial small subunit ribosomal RNA
Source: RNAcentral
UACGUAGGGGCCAAGCGUUGUCCGGAUUUAUUGGGCGUAAAGAGCUCGUAGGUGGUUUGUCGCGUUGUUCGUGAAAACUCACAGCUUAACUGUGGGCGUGCGGGCGAUACGGGCAGACUGGAGUACUGCAGGGGAGACUGGAAUUCCUGGUGUAGCGGUGGAAUGCGCAGAUAUCAGGAGGAACACCGGUGGCGAAGGCGGGUCUCUGGGCAGUAACUGACGCUGAGGAGCGAAAGCGUGGGGAGCGAACAGG